GCUUCCGUAGCUCAGCUCAUAGAGCGUGCGCGUACAAAGCGUAGGCGGCGUCCAUGCGUGGGUUCGAAUCCCACCGAGGCU
RNAcentral lists this transfer RNA (81 nucleotides) under Echinostoma caproni. It matches the Rfam family "tRNA". Rfam says of the family: Transfer RNA (tRNA) molecules are approximately 80 nucleotides in length. Their secondary structure includes four short double-helical elements and three loops (D, anti-codon, and T loops). The record is from Rfam by way of RNAcentral. Lineage: Eukaryota; Metazoa; Platyhelminthes; Trematoda; Plagiorchiida; Echinostomatidae.